RNAcentral lists this ribosomal RNA (824 nucleotides) under uncultured bacterium. RNAcentral describes it as "bacterial SSU rRNA". It matches the Rfam family "Bacterial small subunit ribosomal RNA", at positions 97 to 917 of the family's 1533-position model. The record is from RNAcentral.
GGCGGACGGGUGAGUAAUGCCUAGGAAUCUGCCUGAUAGUGGGGGACAACGUUUCGAAAGGAGCGCUAAUACCGCAUACGUCCUACGGGAGAAAGCAGGGGACCUUCGGGCCUUGCGCUAUCAGAUGAGCCUAGGUCGGAUUAGCUAGUUGGUGAGGUAAUGGCUCACCAAGGCGACGAUCCGUAACUGGUCUGAGAGGAUGAUCAGUCACACUGGAACUGAGACACGGUCCAGACUCCUACGGGAGGCAGCAGUGGGGAAUAUUGGACAAUGGGCGAAAGCCUGAUCCAGCCAUGCCGCGUGUGUGAAGAAGGUCUUCGGAUUGUAAAGCACUUUAAGUUGGGAGGAAGGGUUGUAGAUUAAUACUCUGCAAUUUUGACGUUACCGACAGAAUAAGCACCGGCUAACUCUGUGCCAGCAGCCGCGGUAAUACAGAGGGUGCAAGCGUUAAUCGGAAUUACUGGGCGUAAAGCGCGCGUAGGUGGUUUGUUAAGUUGGAUGUGAAAUCCCCGGGCUCAACCUGGGAACUGCAUCCAAAACUGGCAAGCUAGAGUAUGGUAGAGGGUGGUGGAAUUUCCUGUGUAGCGGUGAAAUGCGUAGAUAUAGGAAGGAACACCAGUGGCGAAGGCGACCACCUGGACUGAUACUGACACUGAGGUGCGAAAGCGUGGGGAGCAAACAGGAUUAGAUACCCUGGUAGUCCACGCCGUANACGAUGUCAACUAGCCGUUGGGAGCCUUGAGCUCUUAGUGGCGCAGCUAACGCAUUAAGUUGACCGCCUGGGGAGUACGGCCGCAAGGUUAAAACUCAAAUGAAUUNNNGGG